This 374-nucleotide ribosomal RNA is filed under the name uncultured archaeon. RNAcentral's name for it is "bacterial SSU rRNA". It matches the Rfam family "Archaeal small subunit ribosomal RNA", at positions 474 to 848 of the family's 1478-position model. The record is from RNAcentral.
CACCCGCGCCUUGAGUGGUGGUCGUUAUUACUGAGCCUAAAGCGUCCGCAGCCGGCUUCGUAAAUCCUUGGGUAAAUCGGGCCGCUCAACGGUUCGCCCUCCGAGGACACUGCGAGGCUUGGGACCGGGUGAGGCGAGAGGUACUCCCGGGGUAGGGGUAAAAUCCUGUAAUCCUGGGAGGACUACCGGUUGCGAAGGCGUCUCGCUAGAACGGAUCCGACGGUAAGGGACGAAGGCCUGGGGCGCAAACGGGAUUAGAUACCCCGGUAGUCCAGGCUGUAAACGCUGCGAGCUUGGUGUUGGGGCUCCUACGAGGGGUCCCAGUGCCGUAGCGAAGGUGUUAAGCUCGCCGCUUGGGGAGUACGGCCGCAAGG